This 34151-nucleotide long non-coding RNA is filed under the name Durio zibethinus. RNAcentral describes it as "long non-coding RNA (DZIB_LNC001677)". The stretch from base 33298 to 33369 matches the Rfam family "tRNA". Lineage: Eukaryota; Viridiplantae; Streptophyta; Magnoliopsida; Malvales; Malvaceae. The record is from RNAcentral.
UUUUAAAAAAACCAAAGCCAAAAAAAAAAAAAAAAACAAAGGUGGAAAAAGACGUCAAAAACACAAUUAACCCUAAAAUCAAUAAUUUAAAGCCCAAAACUUAACCCCAAAAAUUAAAUGUUAAAAGACAAAAUAAACCGCAAUCAAAUUAUUCAUGACAUCAAUUAACCCCAAAUUAUUUUUUAUGCCUUGUAUUACUUGGCAUAUAUAGUUAUUAUGCAUCAAUUUAAUAAGAAUGGAUCGAAGAUAACUUUUAUAUAUUGGUAUUUGAUUAACAAUAUUGGUUUUAAAUGUAAAUUAAUGGAGAAAAUCAAAUUCAAAUAUUUAAUUAUUGAUUUUUAAAAUUUAAAUAUUUAAUAAAAAAUUUAAUUAUAAUCUAUAUAUUAAAUACAUAAUCUUUUUUAAAAAAUCAAAAAGAGAAAAGCAAAGAGAGAAAGAGAUGUUAACAGUUACAAUUAACCCUAAAAUUAGUAGUUAAAAGCCUAAAACAACUUCAAAAUCAAUCAAUCUCAAUUAACCCAAAAAAUUACAUAUUAAAAGGCAAAACCAACCUCCAAACAAAUUAUUCAUGAAAUCAAUUAACCUCCAAAUAAUUUUUUUUAUGCCUCAUAUUACUUGGCAUCGGUACUAAUGCAUGAAUUUAGUAAGAAUGUGUUGGGGAUAAUUUUGUAGAUUGGUAUUGAUAUGCUGUAAAAGCGAUAGACAGGGAGCUUAAUGAAACCUUUCAUAACCAAACAUAUAAUGUAGCUUUAUGGAAUUCCCGCUUAUAUAGCAACCAAAAGAAGAGUAAAAAAACACAAUCAAGAAACAAAAGGCAAAGAUAUAUGAACGACAAAAGGAUUUAUAUACAAUGUCGAAUCUCUACUUAAAUGACUCGAUCAAUUACCAGCUUGAUUUUGUACAGAUUUAUCUUCAUAAAAGCCGCUCAUUGAAACGUGACCAAUACAAGGAAAACAAUUUCCUUCUCGACUUGAGACUCUUACUUACAAAACAAAAACAAUACAAGUUUAACGGCUAUCUACCCCAUGCCAUAUCUUCUCAUAUGGUUUUUAAACAUAACACUACACCUAAACAACGACUCUGUCCUUAUUUUUGUUGAACAAACUGAUCUACUCAGAAGACACCAUCAUUUCAUUACAUGCAAAGAACCUUUCAAACAUAUUCACACUAAGAAAGGAUUCUCUUAAUUUUUUCUUCAGUCAUUGACGACUUCAAAAUUCUUCUGUUUUAAACUGAAUUUUUAAAGCUCUUUUACUGUUAUCUAUGUACUCUUUGUGGACUGAAAUGGGUUCUAGGCCAGCGCAGGGAUGCUGCAAUUUCGCCUAUCCCUGUCAAGGCAAUCAAACCCCUCGACUCUCACGGCUGGCUUGUUACCAAAAUUCGCCCGAACACAGCCUCCUUUCCUUGAAGAGGAUGAUGGAGACGACGAGGACAAACCCGAAGGAGGUGGGAUCGGAGACAGCUGUGACAGCAGGGUGAUGACCUUCUCAUCCCCAAAUCGAGCAUCCUGUAUUAAUGGGUUAGCUACUCUGCUCGGCGGCGACCCACAAAAAAAUGGGGGCGACGACGCUACUUGUGUACAAUUUUGUUCCACUCCACAACCACCCUGUUAAAUUCCAAAACCAAUAAUCAUAUAAUUUUUUUUAUAAGAAACGAUAUACUAAUACAAGAAAUUUGAAGAACCAAAACUCUAUCUAUUCUUUUAGAAACUCUUUAGCUGGUACACCCACAGCACUGUUUUUCUCGUACACGAGACCAAAUUUUAAAUUUUUAAAUGGUCCCCUGAAUGGCUGCUGCAUAAUACAUUUCUUGGAUCGAGACGUCGCCAUUGUUUACCAGAUCAAAGCUCAGAUUUUUUUUUUUUUCAUUUUAUAAACCAUAGAAUAUUUUAUUGGUUUCUUAAAAUAAGACCAUUAGAUAUUGCUAAUUCUAAAUAAGUUCUAAUUUCUUAAAAAAAAAAAAAUUAGGAGAAAGGAGCAUACCUUUGUAAGAAUCAAAUCCAAAAGAUCACUCGCUGCUUUUGAAUCACAAAGAUCCGCUUGAUGGCUGAAAAACAUCAAACAAAUUGUUACUAUUUCUUUGUUUUAAUUUAAAAAAAAAAAAGGAAAAAAAAAGGAGAGAGGAUAAAAGUUGAAGGGCAUAGAAAGAAGGGAAAAUUACCUAAGUUGCCAUCUGAGGGACCUAACAGGGUGGUCGUUGAACGGGGUGUUUAAGAGACCUAAACGACGUGGUUUUGGGCAGACCAUGGUCUCUCUCCGAUCCGUAAACAUAACCGAAACCGAUUUGGAGCUUCGCAUCUCCUCACGGCUGCUUCCAAUCGCGCUUUGUUGGAUCGCACACUGCUUCAUCUUUUUCCUUUCACCUUUUUUUUUUAAUAAUAUUAACAAUUAAUUUCCCUGUUUAACAUAAACAGAUGCUUAAUUAAACAUCGUCUUAAAUAGAAACCAAAAUUUAACUUUAGACUUCUUCUGUUUUCUUUUUAAGAUUAAAAUUCUACAGUUAUUGUAAAGUAGUUCUAGAUCGAUAGAUCUACUGAAACAAAAAUUAAAUAUUAAAAUAAAUAAAUCUCAUUGAAAUUUGCAGCCAAAAAAAUUAAAACUAGUGCGUAUUUAAUUUCUUCACAGAUCUAACCACGCUUAGAAAAGUGAAUUGAAAAAAAUUAAGCUUCAAUUUUCUAAAAUUAGGUUUCUAUGAAGAAAUUGUUCAGAUCGAGGAAGAAACAAAGGAAAUCAUGAAAAGGAGUUGUUUGAAGAGCUGAGAAAUUGGAGGAAACCAAAAGGGAGAAAAAAAGAAAACGAGGCGACGAGCUGAUGGAGAAGAGAAAGGAGAGACGAAUACCUUUGCUUUAACUGUACAGCUCAGUUGAGAAACUGUUGAAGUGGGUGGUCAAUAUAAACAGAGCACCAUAUAAAAAAAUGAAAAGAAGAAAAAAAGAAAAAAGGAAGCAAAUGACGUUGAGAAGUAGGGCGCCAGAACAAAGAAGGAUGGUGAAGAAGAGGUCCCAUAUGAUUUAUAGACGAGAGAUAGAAAGAGACAAACACUUGUAAAAAUAAAAAUAAAAAAGAAAAGUGGUAUCGGUAUUGGGCAAGGCACAGCUAAUAAUAGCAGGAAAGAAAAAAGGAAAAAAUAAAGGACCGAAAGAGACAACAACUUUUCUUAUCUCUAAACUCUUUGGUCUGGCUCUGCUCUCGCAUCGAUUUUUUUUUAAUUUUGGAACUUUGAUAUGAUAAUAGUUAAUUAUUUUUAUAAAAUAUCACCAAGGCGGUGCCUCCAGCGAGAAAUUAAAAAAAAAAAAAAAAUGGUUUUAGCACCCGAUUUUAGUGUCUAAUUUUACUAUUUUAGGUAUUAAAAAAUUAAAAUAUCUUUAGUAAUAUCAACGGACCAAUUAAUGCUAAUUUAUUUUUACAAAGCUUUUACCAAACUGACUUGCUUUGCGACGUGGGCUUUGUAGAUCGAAAAGUAGUUGAGUGUGAUUUUGACACGUGUCCCUUCAUCUUUAGUUAAAAAUUUUAGGUGUUAGGAGCGUGGUCGGCAUGAGCAUGAGUUUUCACUAUCUCAUUUUUUCUUUUUAAUAAUAAAUUUUUUUGGUCAAAUAUAUAUGGAUCAUGUAUGCAGUGUUGGUAUGAAUGAAAGUACGAGCACUGAACCAGGUGCAGAGAAUUAUGCCUAGACCACAAAGUUUGGGUUUGAUUAUUGCCACUUGGUUUUUUAUUUUUUUAAAAUCGUUUUAGAUCCAAUUAAUUUUUUCUAAAAACUAAUCGCUCAUUCUUAAGUAUAAAACUUAUAUUAUUAAUGUAACAGAAAUUAAAAUUUUGUUAAUUUUACAUUGUAUAAAUAAUUUUUUUAAAAAUUAAUGAGAUAUAUAUAUGUAUAUAUAUUACAUUUUAAAUUUCUUUUUUGUUUAUAAGAUACAACUUUUUGUAGAAAAAUAUUUGAACCUAACUCCUCGAAUCGGAAAUAAAUAUAAAUAUACUACUAGUAUUUGACAAAAAAUCCAAGUGCACACUUCAAAAUUCCCUAAGCAACAACAAUUGAACGAAAUAGACAAACUAAUUUGGUUUAUUCCAUCUCUUUACUGACUCAUGCAGUUUUUGUGAAGAAAAGUUCAAUACUUAUUUCGAAGUGUCUUAUCUUUUUAAAAGUGGUUUUUCUUUUUUUAAAGUAACAUUUAGAAUAUUUUUAAAAUUAUCAUGAUAAUUUUAUUAUUGAUAUGAUUUUAUUAUUAAAAUUAUUUUAUUACUUAUGAUUUAAAAUUAUUUUAUUUAGUUAAUAAUCCUUAAUUUUUAAAAAUUAAAAUUUUGUAUUUGAGAUCAUUAAAAUUAAAUAUUAUUUUAUUUAAAGCAUCAAAAUAAUUUGGUAUAUUAUAAUAGUUGUAUAGGUUAAUAAUUUUAAUAUUAUUUUAAAAUAAUAAUUUGUAAAUUAUUGUUAAUAUUUUAUUUACUUCAUAAUAAAAUAUGGUUAAAUUAUUAAAUUAACAAAUAUAUUUAUUGCUAAGUACAUUAAUUUUAAAAAUAUAAAUUAUGUAAAAAUUGAAUUUAAAAGGUUAAAUUAUGUUAGAAGUCUUAUAUUUAAUGAAAAUUUAAAACUUAGUUCAUAUAUUAUAAUUCAUACAAAUUUAAUUCAUGUACUUUCCUAAGUGUUUGUGUCGAGCUCUACAUGAGGGUAUUCUUGAAAGAACAGAAAGCUGAAAGACAGUAAUCAGAUGUAAAGGCAAAGAAUGUUUACUAUGUUUGUACUCCGACGCACAAGUAAAAAAUCAAAAUGAAAAAGUUUGGAAUGAGAGAAAAAUAAGGGAUUAAAACAAGAUGAAACCUGGGAUAAUAAUACUUGGAUGCCUAUAUUUAUAGAUGAGAGGUUGAGGGUCAAUGAUGGACAAUAAUGACGUGACCGAGCUGAUAUGGCAUUGAGUGUGUCAGGCCAACCUGACAUAUCAAGUCGAUGCAAAUGUCCAAAAUGCCCCUAGCUGUCUACUAGAGACCCUUAAUGAAGAAAAAGGCCAUUAUACCUUUUAAACCACUAAAUGCCCCAAACAUUCUAUCCCUUCACCAUGCAAUUUAAAUAUCAUAUUAUUGGUCAUGUUAUUAGUUCAUUUCUCAUAAGUCAGCCAGCCUAAAGGAAGUCACAAAAGGUUCGAUCUUCUAUGGCCAAGGUCGACAUGGAGUUCAACACCAAGAGACAAUUAGCUUUUUACUACGACUCAAGGUGAUGGAGUGAGGGCCAACCUGGUGUGAGUUCGAUCUCAAGCAUGUGCUUUGGGUUGAGUACAUGCUAAUUUGAAGUCAUUUUGUCUAGGAUGAUCCAAGAUUAGGAUGAAAGCUUGUCUGGUUGAUGUGGAACUUAGACAUUUUUUCAGAAGUUUGGAUUUGAGUCUUUAUUUUACAUUCUGAUGAUAAACCGACUGCCAAUUCACUGAACUAGUUCAGUCCCAGAAGCCAUUCGAUUUGACCAAUUUGAUCGAGUCUAGCGAUUGAGGUUUCAUUAAAUGACGAGAGAUAUAGUUUGGGUAGUAAAAUUUAGUGUGAAAAGGGUAAAAAGAUGUCUUCCAACGACAUUUUGACAUAUGGCAUAAUCUAGAUUGUUCAUCUGAUUUAAGGCAUGACUAUAUAAAAGGGCUAUUAGGGCUUUUAUUUUUCACUUUUUUGUUUUCUUGCUCUCUAUCUAAUAUAGAUUUUUCAACCUCAUAAGCUUUUAUUCUUUUUGAUUUUAUUGUUUUCUUCUUUUCAUUUGCUCUAUCUAUUUUUGUAGGUAUGUUCUCUCUUCAUCAUGUCUUCUAGUUUUAGUUCUAGAUAAGCUGGGAGUUUCAAGGUAGAGUCUAGAGGGGUCAGCUCUGGCAAAACAAUGACCUAGUCCUAUCAAUUAUCAGAGGUUAAGACUAUCAUAAGAGUGCUUAUUGGCUCAACACCAUGUCCAAAGAGAGGUAGUGGUAAAAUGAUGAGAAUGCUUAAACAAGAAAAAAGUAGGUCCUAAGCACGAAAGAGCUAUGUACUUAAAUAGAUUUUAAUUUGGAGAAUCCACCUCUUUUCUUUGUCUCUCAAGUUAGUCUAUAUUCUAUGGCCAACAUUUUUUCAUCUUCGACUGUUCUCUUUUUAGGGUCCAGUCUUAUCAAAUUUCUUUUUCUUCUGCUCUUUCACCUAUAAAUGCUUCCGUUGUUUCUUCUAUUCCUCUUCGGUCAACUCUUGUUGAUAUCACCUCUUCUCUUGAGGGGUCUCAUCUUCCUUUUUCUUCCCUUGAGGUUGUGGUGCUUUCAACCACUGCUCCAUCUUGGAAUCCUAUCUUACUUAGGAGUCUGAGUCUUUUAACGAUGAUAAGGGUUCUAAAGAAAAGCAAGAAGAGAAAUGUGCCAUCGCUGAAGAAGAUAAUGGUGAUGAGGAAGGGAGUUCUUCGAAACAAGAUAAGUUGGUUGAGAUCCUUGUAUAUACUUUUUACGACCUCGGUAUAACUUCCAAGGAUAUGAUGCAAGAAUUGAAAAGCAAGGCAAAUCUCAAGGACUGCCCUAAUAUGUGUUUAGCUCAUCAUGUCUGUACUUUGGUGAUGAACAUUCAUUUUCCCAAAAAGGAGUAUAGCAUACUAAUUCUGAAUUCUUCAAAUCAGGUCACCAAUAAACUAGAGCCAUAUUAGCUCUAGGUAUAUUAGGAUUUGUUCAUGGUUAGCUGAGGUUCUCACUACAUUCUUUAUUUAUUUCAAUUUUUAAUUCUUAAAUUUAACUAUCACUCAGCUUAUCUUUAUACAGUACAUAGUAAGUUUUAUAAUUCUUUGUCAACACUUAGUUAUUUUUCUUAAUCUCCCUUUAUUUAAGGAAUAUUUUUUAUUAAAAAGUACUUCAAUGAUAGGAGGUGGUACUAUGUCACAGCUUGGCCCAAUAAAAAGCUAUUCGUUGAUUGCCUAAGUUCUAUAAAAAACUAGAAGUUGCUAUUCUUUUGCCUUUAAAAUAAAAACAAAAUAAAAGUGAUGAGAUCAAGGCUGAGGCCAGGGUCGGGGCCUGAGAGAUAAUAAAAUAGCCCUACUAAUUUGUAAACAUGCCUACUUCUUUCUUUAUCCUAAACCUAUCAGAUUGAGACAAAAUAAUGAAGUACACCCAUAAGAGGAUCUCCUCAUAGAUGCCCACAAGCUAACCUCCUCUGAAGUAAUAAAUAAGAUCAAAUACUAGGAUAGGUAUGAGGUAACCUUGUAAGAUCUUUAUUUUGUUUAUUUUUUUGUAUCCAAAUCUUAGCUCAAUUUUAUAGAGAUAUCUUCCAAUAAAGACUUCAACUUCUCUCUUUUUUAACACAAGCCUAGGCUGAAGAAGGACUAGAGUGAAAAAGAUUAAGCUUGGAGCCUAUUUUCGAGGGGGAAUAAAGUUAUUAAUCUGACAGUAUGUAAGCCAUCGAGCUCCUUAGUUUAACACUCUCCCACUAGUAAAAAGCACAAGACCAUGGCUCAUGAAGAGCUCUCAUCGAUAACCUUCUUUCUUACAAAAAAGUUAAGAAUCGAGGUUUCCUCUUCUACCCUAGAGAAUAUAAAAUCUGGGGUAUUAAAGCCUAGCUCAAAAAAAGUUUGUACAAAGCUAGAGUACACUUCAAAUGAUAACCCCUAUGAGAACUUUGACAUGGCUAGGAGGUUCUGCAAAAUCGUAGUUCCUUCCAGUAAUAAAUGUUGUUUAACUUCAACUCAGCCCAUCAUCAUUUUAUUUUUUAUUUUGCUAAAUUUGAGUUCAUCCUAUGCAAUUUUUCAAAAACUCCCUCAUGCACCUGUGACAACACCACUCAAGCCUUUCAUCAUAUAUAUCUAGCUAUGACCCCCUUGUUCAAGACCAAAAAAGAUAUGACCAUCUUAAGUAAGAACAUAAAAAAAGCUUAGAUGUCUUAGGUAGUGUGAAAUCCAAUAUCAGUGUAUCUCAUUAAAGAAGAUGAGCAAAGGAAAAAGAUUGAUGAGCUAAUGACUAGGCUAGAGAGCAUCUACAUCGAGAAAGCCUUAAAAAAGUUUAUAAAAGAAUAGGCUGAGCUAAAACUUGGUGAUGCUUAGAUUGAGAUAGCCAGGCUGAGGUUUGAAUUCAAGACCAAAGGGAAAGAGAAAGAGAAAGAAGAGCUGAACAAGAAAGCCGUUAAGGAGUUUAAGGCCUCCGACGAAUUCUUUAAGCUCCAAAAGGAGUUUUUCAACAAAAAUGUGAUCAAUGCCUUCUAGCUCGUGAAAGAUAAGGUGCAGUUUAAAUUUAUCAACCUCAACCUUGAUAUCCUAAUAUUGACUUGAACAAUACCAGAUCAAAACCUCUUGUCAUCACAUAUAGAUCCGUGGACUCACUAGAUAUGGGUUAGAGGAGUUACCAUCGAUCUUUUUUGUUUAGGUGUGAUUGUCCACCAAAUUGAAUAGGUCCUAUUUAAAGAGGAGUCCCAAGAUUGACUUAGGUAUCUUUAAAUAUUAGAUUCUGAUAUAUGAAACCAAAGUUUAGGUUUAAGAGUACGAUUAUGCGUAAGAAAGGCUAUAGCAUCCCCACAAUGCUUAUCCAAAAGAUGGUACCAGUUUGAUUUCAAAUUAUCCAAGCCUUGAUCAUAUUUGUAAUUUACCAAAUUAUUUAAUAUUGACGAUUAGUCUUAAAAUUGUCCUAAUAGUUUGGUAGCAAUUUAAGAUAAUUUUCUCACCUUAAGAGUAUUUAUGGAGACUAGUAUCCCACUCUGAAGAGACUCUGUUGUCAAAUUUAUUAAUUUAUUUUCUUUCAAAAAAAUAAGUAAAGUCUCAUAAUAGUUUGGCAGGACUUACUUUAAAAUAGAUCUCCCAACAUUUUGGUAAGAUUUUAUUUUAAAAAGAUUUGUAAAAAUUUAUUUGUUUUUAGAAAAUUCAUUAAGUCUCCCAAUAGUUUAGUAAGACUUAAUUUAGAAAGCAAUCCUCCAAUAGUUUGGAGGAUGAAAAUUAUUUAUUUUUAUUUUUUUAUAUUUUUUGAAACCAAUUUUUUGAAUUUUCCAAUAGUUUGGUGGAUUUCAUUUUGUAAAAUAAAUUCAUGAAAAUUCUCCAAUAGUUUGGUAAAUUCAUGAAUUUAUUUUGUAAAGAUUUUUAUUUGAAAAAAGAUUUUUUUAUUUUAUUCCUAUAUUUCAUAAAGACAAUUUUUUAUGUUUGGUAAAUACAAGGUUACUGAAUAAAAAAAUAGUAAAGUAAAAAUAAAAUAAAAAGUCAAAAAUAAGAAAAAAUAAAAACUUAAAAUAUGAAAAUAAAUAAAAUAAAAAUUGAAAAAUGAAAUAAAAAAGAAAAAAAAAACCUACAAAACGAAUCAGGUCAGCACGUGGGUCGGCAAGUAGGUCAAUCAGGUUACACGUAGAUCUUGUGUUUGUAGAAACGAUGUCAUUUUGAGGUGGGUAUAUAAGCCAAUCUUCAACCUUUUCUUUUAGAAAGCCAGUCUUUUCUCUGUCUCUACCUUCAGAUUUCUCUACCUUCUCUCUAGGAUAGCUAAGAACAAUACCGAAAAGUUUAACUGAAAACUGAAAAACCUAUCGAUUUCUAGAAAACUUGCCAAAAAGUUCAACCAAAAAUUGGAAAACCCAUCGAUUUCUGAAAAACUCGUCGAAAUCCCACCAAAAAAUUCAACCUUCACCAAAAAAUUCAAAAAUUCAUCCCCAAACCUAGAUUUUCCCAAAUUUUUUCAAAACAUUAAAAAAUGCCAAAAAAUUUGACCCUGAUCCUAGAGUUUCGAAACUUCAAUCCCAACAUUCUGAGACAGAAACCAUAAGCUCAAGCUUUCAAAUUACACAGAAUAUCGAACCUAGAAACUCCCAGAACCAAAAUCUCAAAAACCUAGCUCCCAAAAAUUUUCUCAAACCCCAUUUUCCCAAAAUUCAAUCUCUAUCCACUUUUAUCUAAUUCUUGGUUUAAUUUAUAGGCAAUAUUAAGAGGAUUUUUAGGAAAUGAACAAAAUCAAUCUAAGCUUGAAUUUUGGAAUAAGGUUUUAUUCGAGUGUGAUCUUGGGUCUCGGAUUUGAUCCCACUUAAUCUCAACAGUCAUGCCCAUCUUCCAUCUUAGUCUCAAUUUGCAAAUUUGUUGAUAUUGAUUGCACGAGAAAAGAAAGAAACAUGAGAACAAAAUAAUAAUAAUAAUAAUAAUAAGAAUAAUAAUAAUAGUAAUAUAAUUAUAAUACUAAUAUAAUAUAGAAUAAUAAAAAUAUAAUAAUAAUACUAAUAGAUUACAAUAUACGAUAUAAUAUAUUAUACUAUACAAUAUGAUAUAAUAAUACUAAUAGUAAUAAUAAUAUAAUAUUAUACUACUAUAAUGUCAUACUAUACUGCUAUAAUAAUAUAUACAAGGGGAAUUGAUAUCGAUUAGCUCUGAACAUAGAUGAGUGUCUACAGUUACCCUUUUUUACACAUCGCUGUUAGAUAGGGAUGAUGUAAUGACCUAGACACCCAUUCUAUUCGAGUCAAAUCAACGAGUGAAAAUGAUCGAGACUGAACCACAAGUUGGGGAGAUGAUUUGGGUUGAAUCGGGAUCGAAUGAUUAGAAUGAUGCCAUAAGUCAGAAAAAUGACCUGUAUCAAGCCAAGAUUGGAUGAUUGGGAUGAUGUCGUGAGUCUAAAAGUGAUCAAGAUCGAGUUGAGGUCGUGAAUAAUCGGGACGAUACUGCAGUCUGAAAAUGAUCUAGACUGAGCCAAGAUCGGAUGAUUGGGACAAUGCUAUUAGUCUAAAAAUGAUCAAGAUUGAGUUAAAGUCGUAGAUAAAUGAUCGAGAUGAUAUUACUGUCUGAAAGCGACCAAGAUCGAGUCAAGGUCAUAGAUAAAUAACCAAAUGAUGCCACAAGUUUGAAAAUGACCAAGAUCAAGUCAAGGUCAUGAAUGAUCGAAAUAAUGCUACGAGUCUAAAAUGAUCUAGCCUAAGCUGAGAUCGGAUGACUGGGAUGAUGUCGUGAGUCUAAAAGUGACUAAAAUUGAGUCAAAAUCAUAGAUAAAUGACUGAGAUGAUACCAUGAGUCAGGAAAAUAAUUUAGAUUGAGCUGAGUUCAGAUGAUUGGGAUGUAUCACAAGUGUUAAAAAUGAUCCGGAUUGACCCAAGAUCAGAACUUAUGAUGAAUGAUCAUGCAAUGAUAUGAAUGUAUGCUCUAUCUAUGAUGCAAAUGGAACAUCCAUUAUGGUACUAAAGCUUCUACAACUUUCAUUUGCAUUUUCAUUUUUAUACACCUUUGGCAAGGAAACUAUCAUUCGUUACCCUAAAUAAGAAUUUAUCUUUAUCUUAAGGAAAGCUUUUGAAAUCAAUGAAUCUCUUUUAUUUGGAAGAGUUCAUUUUUGGUACUUCUCUCUUUCAAUUUUCAAAGUAGCACAUAAUUUCUUAUGACCUUGUUCAAUUAUAAAUCAUUGUCUUAAUUUCAAUACAUGAGAUGCAAGUUGUGCACUUCUUUUAUUCAUGGUAAGGUAUAAAAGAAAAAGGUAAAUAUAUAUUAAAAGUGAGAAAUAAAACAAAUAUCAUUUAUUUGGAUAAGCAAUAAAUUACAGAUGAUGGCAUAGAAAUAAAAUGAAAGUGUAUAGAGACGAUCAUAUAAUCAUGACAAAAUCUUGGAUUUAUUAAAAAAUUCAACCAAAAUAUGAUGCCCCGACAUUUUAAAGUUCUUUAGAAUUCAUUGAUUUUGGUAUGCUUUUCAAAUGAUGUUGUAUUCUACUUAUCCAAAUCGCCCUCAUUCAGUUCAAGCCGCCCUUUUGGGUUUUUAACUUGAACUCUUCUCUUUUUUUUUUUUUUUGUUUUGGGUUCAAGCUACCCUUUUGGGUUUUCAGCUUAAAACUUUUUUUUUUGUUCAAGUUGUCUUUUUGGGUUUUCAGGUUGAACUAUUUUUUUUUUUGGGGCUCAAGCAAAGUACUUCUAUAUAGUAUCAAAAUUGAUAGGAUUAAGAAGCUCAUUUCCAUCCAUCUCUAACAAGAUUAUGGCUCUUUUUGAAAAAGCUCUUUUUUUAACAUAUGAUCAUUUCCAAUUUGGAGUCCAUUUCCAUCUACCAUCAUGUUGACUUGAAAGAAUUCUUUUCAAUACCAACUCUUCUUCUCGAAAUUGAUGAGAUUAGACCUUUUUAUCAUGAGCCAUCAUCAUUCUUUUGAUACAAUUAAUUGUGAUAGAGUGUUGCUAAUCUCUUUUUUUUAAUGAAAUUUAAUUGUUCAUAGCACUUUUGGACCAUCGGGCUCUUCUAAUCCCACUUCUCUUAAGACUCUUAGAGAUAAAAUUUUUACUUUUAUUGGCAAUACAGCUUUCAUUCCAUAAACCAAGAAAAAAAGAGUUACCCCUGUAGAAGUGCGCAUGGAGGUUUGAUAAGCAUACAAAGCAAAAGGUAGUUUUUCAUACUAGUCUUUAUAUGUUUCAGUCAUCUUUUCUAAAAUCUUUUUGACAUUUUUAUUUGCAGCAUUGAUUGCCUUAUUCAUUUUUGGUGGUGUGAACCUGAAUUAUGGUGUUUAAUUUUGAACUGAGUACAUACUUCUUGCAUCAUUUUGCUAUUCAAGUUUUUUGCAUCAUCUGAGAUGAUCUUUUCUAAGAGCUAUAUCUGUAGAUUAUCUUUCUUUUGAUGAACUUGCAAAUCAUUGAUCUAGUUACAGUUAUGAAAGAAGUAGCUUCGACCUAUUUAAUGAAGUAAUCAAUCAUCAUAAAAAUAAAUUUAUUCCUAUUUGAGGCCUUUAGGAUAAUGGGACCAAUAACAUCCAUUCCCCAUAUAGAAAAUGGCCACGGUGGUGCCAAAACUUGUAUAACAGUAGGUGGGGCAUGAAUUUUGUUGAUGUAAAUUUGGCACUUGUGAUAUUUUUUAGCAUAAUCAAUGUAAUCUUUUUUCAUUGUCAACCAAUAAUAUUCAGCCCACAUGAUCUAUCUAGCCAUCAUGCAUCCAUUUACAUGUGCACCACAUACACCAUCAUGGACUUCCCCAAUAAUCUUUUUGGCCUCAGAGGCAUUUAUACAAUGCAAUAACACUUGGUUUCUGCUUCUCUUAUACAAAACUUUUCCAUCUAAAAAGAAUCCUACAGUUAAUCUUUUUGGGACUCUUUUAUCAUUAUUUGUUGCUUGAUCUAGGUACUACUGACUCUUUAGAUAUCACAUAAUGUCAUGAUACUAGGGAUUGCCAUCUUUUUCCUUCUCUAGGUUGGUACAAUGCAUCAGCACAUUUUUUUAUAUAAUUUAAUGGGUUGAAUUUUAGCUAUGUCGUCAAUUUGCAUUAUCAUAACUAAAGUUGCCAAAGCAUCUAUUAUUUGAUUAUCUUUACGAGGUAAAUGUUUAAAUUGGAUAUUUUCAAAUUGUUUAUACAACUCUAAAAUAUAUUUAUGGUAAAGGAUGAGUUUUGAAUCCCUUGUCCCCCAUUUGCCCUUUAGUUGAUAGAUAACCAAAGCUGAAUCUCCGAACACCUUUAAUGUCUCAAUUUUUUUUGUCCAAAGUAGCACUUAAUCUGAUAACACAAGCUUCAUAUUCAACUAUAUUAUUAGUGCAGUUGAAAUUUAAUCUUGCUAUCAUGGCGUAGUAAUGUUCUAUUAGAGAUAUUAAUACCAUUCCAAUCCCAUACCCUAUGACAUUGGCAACCCCAUCGAAAUACAUUCUCCAUGUCUCUUUCUCAUCUUUGUCUUCUUCUACUAUUGAGAUGGCUAUUAAUUCUUCAUUUGUAAAAUCUAGUUUCAUAGCUUCAUAAUUUUCAGUAACUCGAUCUAUGAGGAAUUUGGUAAUGAUGCUUCAUUUGAUUGCUUUUUAGCUCACAUACACUAUAUUGUAUUCCAAAAGCAUUACUUGCCAUUUUGUGAUUCUUUCUGAUGGUGAUGGCUUUUCAAAGAUAUAUUUGAUUGGGUUAAUUUAGUUAUGAGCUAAAUUGUAUGGUAGAGCAUGUACUGCCUGAGUCUUUUAGCUAUCCAAGCCAAGGCACAACAUAUAUUCUCGAGCAAUGAAUACUUGGAUUCAUAUUCCAUAAACUUCUUACUCAAGUAGUAAAUAGCUUUUUCUUUCUUAUUAGAUUCAUUUUUUUACCCUAGCACACAUCCCAUUACUUAUCAUGUACCACUAUAUAAAGAAUCAAUAGCUUUUCUAAAACGAGUGAUGUUAUUAUUGGAGGAUUUGAUAAGUAUUACUUGACCUUGUCAAAAGCUUUUGGCAUUUCCUUAUUCCAUUCACUAGGAUCAUUCUUUCGAAAGAGCUUAAAGAUGGGAUCACAUUUAAGGGUGAGUUGAAAAAUGAAUCGAGAAAUAUAUUUCAAUCUGCCUAAGAAGCCUUGAACCUCCCUUUGUAUACUUGGAGGAGAUAAAUUUUGAAUGGCCUAAAUUUUAUUCAAAUAAACUUUAUCCCUCUUUCACUGACUAUAAAUCCCAAUAGUUUUCCUGACUUGGCUUCAAACGUGUAUUUGGACGGAUUUAGCUUAAGUUAAAAUUUCCUUAGCCUCUCAAACAAUUUUCUAAGAUUAGCUACAUGGUCUUCUCUCUUUUGAGAUUUUGUAAUCAUGUCAUCCGCAUAAAUCUCAAUCUCUUUGUGCAUCAAAUCAUGAAAAAAUGUUACCAUAGCCCUUUGAUAAAGUUGUCCCAGCAUUUUUCAUUUUGAAAGACAUGAUUUUGUAAUAAAAGGUUCCCUAAAUAGUUAUAAAUGUGGUAUUUUCAUGUCAUCCAGAGCCAUUUUUAUUUGAUUAUAGCUAGAGAAUCCAUCUAUAAAAGAAAAUACUGAGUGUUGGGCUGUAUUGUCCACCAAAGUAUCAAUAUGAGAUAGAGAAAAUUGUCUUUAGGACUAACUCUAUCCAAAUCAUGGUAAUCUACACACAUCUGUACUUUUUCAUCCUUCUUGGGGAUAGGUACUAUAUUAGCACCUAUUUAAGGAUAUUUGGCCACUUGUAGAAAGCCUACAUCAAAUUAUUUUUUUGCUUCUUUUUUAUUUUCAAUAACAUCGUUGGCUUCAUUCUUCUCAACCUUUGUUGGAUUGAUUUGCAUUCAGGCUUCAAUGGUAGCCUAUGUUCUACUAUUUCAAUGCUGAGCCCAAGCAUAUCUUAGUAGGACUAGGCAAACACAUCUACAAAUUCUCAUAGCAAAUUCUCUAAUCAUUGUCUAUCAACUAAAUUGUUGGAAGUGAAGUACCAACCUUUAUUUUUUUUUUAUUCUCAGUAUCUCUUAAAUUGACCAUUUUAAUAACUUCUUGAUGAGGCUUGAUGGAUUUAUUCUCCUGUUCAAUUAAUCUCAUUAAAUCUGAAGACAUAGUGUAUUCUUCAAAGUCUUUUUCAAUAUCAAUUCAUCAGUAUUAAUUGAAUUUUCAAAAUUAAACCUGGAUCAUUAUCAUGAUUACUUUCAUAUUCAUUUGGGACCUGAAAAUUAAUGAAAUAAGAAAUAUUGCCGAAAUGCUUUAAUGGGAUAAUGGAUGGAAUAGAAGACAUGGACAAAAUUCAUGCUUCUACUUUUAUGGAAAUAAUGAAAAAAAAAGGCCUAAACAUAAGAAUUUAUCCAAACACUUUCAAACAUAAGCAAUUAGGAGAUGUGAUUACAUUAAAAAAAACCAUAGGCAUUUGGAUGACACUCUAAUUCUGUAAUUCAUAGCUGAGUGGGCAUAAGUAAACCAAAGCUUUUUCAUUUUGGUUUUCAUUACCCACUAUAUGAAUGGAUAACUUGGAAAAAGUUUCCUCUCAUUUUGAUUCUUCUUUUGUAUCUUCCAUAGCUUCUGAGUGCAUGUAUUUUCCAAAAAUAAAAGUCUCAUUUAAAUGGGGAACAACCAUCAACCCAUUUUUUAUCUUUUUAUUGUUAUUUUACACUUCUUCCAUCUCGUAACCUAAUCCUAAUCUGUCACUAUUGUCUUCGAUUUUUGGUGGCCCUCUUAUUUCUUGUAGACUUUUGCCCAAAGCAGAACUCGAUACUUCAACCCUUAUUGAUCAUCUAAUUGAUCAUAAUUUUACUGAACUUGAGCCCUUCACCUACUGCAUUGAUGGGUUUAAAAGAUUGAUAAGAGCAUUCUAAUGAUUCUUCUACGGUUUCUAUAUAUAAGGCAUUUAUAGGUUGAGUCACCAAUAGGUCUUUUUUCCCGUUAUAAUCACCAAUUGGCCUUUUAUAUUAAAUUUAUUUUUUGGUACGGUGAGGAAGGGACUGUGCCUGCCCUGUGAAUCCAUGGCCUUUCUAAUAAGCAAUUUUAGGAUGAGAGACAUCUAUGACUUGAAAUUUUAUGUUGAAAACAUACAGCCCAAUCUACAUAGGCAACUCAACAUCUCUCAAGACUUCGUGUCUAGUCCCAUCAAAUGCUUGAACCAUCAUAUGACUACUUUGGAUAUAGGACAUAUCAAAGGGCAGCUUGAUUAGAGUAGACACUGGCAUGACAUUAAUAGUCGAUCCAUUAUCAAUAAAGACCUUGGCUAUUAUAUGGUUUUUGCACUUAACAGUGAUGUUUAAAGCCUUGGUGCUCCCUCUUCCCUCAGACGAGAUCUCAUCGUCAUUGAUAGAGAUAUGAUGUGACACCACUAGGUUCCCUACCAAGUGAUUCACAUAUUCUACAGAUACAUUAUGGGCCACAUAAGCUUGAUUUAGUACCUUCAAUAAGGCAUUACGAUGUGGUUCUGAAUUCAAGAGAAGUGAUAACAAAGAGAUUCUGGCUGACAUCUUAUUCAAUUGCUCUACCAUAGAGUAUUCACUAUGUUUUACUAGCUUCAAGAACUUGCAGGCUUCAUUUUCUGGUAUAGACUUUGAAAUGUUUUUCUCCUGUAUCACGUUUGGCUUAACCUGCAUUUUUGUCACCUUUUUUAUUUUCUUCAAGGUCUUUGGAGUAUAGCACCUUCCACUUUUGGUUAUGCCACUUACACAUAUUAUGUUGGCAGUUUCAGAUUGAGACAUAACCUUUUCUUGUCCCUAGAUUGUUACCUCACAAUCAUAUCUCCAUAGUAUAGCUUUCUCAUCUUUAUAGGGAAAUGGGCAUGAGACUUUGAAAGCUAUUACUUUGGGAACAAAUUUAUUCUCGACUAGUUUUAGUUUCUCACUACAAUGAUUAGUGAAAGGCUUAGGCACCCAUCUAUCUGUCAUAGCCACCUCAAUAUCUUUCGAGGCUUUUGACUCUUCAUAAAAUUCCAUCUAGUAUGAGUCAAUUAGUUUUUACACCUCAUCAUAAAAUUGUUUACAGAUGUCAAUAUAGUGCUUUGGAGUUCUACUGUGAUACUUACAUCUUUGAUUAGGGAUGCAUCUUUCCACAUAAGUGCAUGGAGCUACGCUUGUAUCAACUCGACCUUAUAUAAGGCGUCAUACAGCUAGUUAAAUGACAUUUUAAACUCUUUCCACCUUCUUUUCAUAUGCCUUUUGUCCUUGUCUAAGGCAUUGAUUGUAUGAUUGGAUAAAAGAUUUUUCACUGUUGUUGGGUGUUGAGUCCCCACUAGUAUCAAAACUUAUCAGCCCUUCUUUAAUUAGAUGUUACAUUUUUUACUUCAAAAAAAUGUAAUUCUCAGUAGAAUGGCCUGUUACCCCAUAAUGGUAGCUAUAAUAGGCAGUGGUAUUAUACCAUUUGGGAUAGGGAGAUUUAGUUUAUUUUACAAAAAAGAGGGCAAUGAGGUGGUUUUUAUAGAGCUCUUGAUAUAGCUCAGUGUAGCUUGUAGGUAUAGGAUCAAAUGUGGGUCUUUCCCUUAUCUGUGGUUCUUGGGCAUUACUUGUUGUGCUGGCUGGGUAAGCAGGUGAUCGUGAUGAGGAUGGAGUCAUGUAGUUAGUUGAUAAGGGGAAGUGGCAGUAUGGUUCAUAGUGUAGUGAUAUGUUGGAUAGGUUGGCCAAGAGUAGCUUGUAAAUUGCUGCCCUCAAGACUCACAGCUUGAGUCUCACUCUUUUUCUUCUUAGACGCACUUUUAUAAGACUCUUUUUCUUUAAGUUUGCCAUUUUUAUGGUAUUUUUAAUGAUCUCUCCCAAAAUCACUAGGUCAGCAAAGUUCUUAGUCGUGUUUCCUAUCAUUCUUUCAUAGUAUGGCAACUUUAAAGUGCUCAUGAACAGCACUGUAGUUUUUUUUUUUCUAUUAAGGGAGGUUAUACCAGAGUAGUUAUAUCCUGUCACCUUUGGGCACAUUGCUUGAAGGAUUCAGAUGCUUUUUUUUCCAUUCUUUAUAAGAAAAAGAGAUCAAAAGCCAUAUCAAUGAUGUGGUAGUACUGAUUAAUAAAGAAUCAGGUCAAAUCUUUUUAUGACUUUAUAAGAGUUUCAUCUAACUGAACAUACCAUCUUGUUAUAGACUCAGUUAAACUAUAUUGAAAGACGUGCAUGAAUAACUUCUUGUUGCUAGCAUGCGUUACCAUCUUUGCCAUAAUACAUUAUGAUAUGUGUGAUAGGACACUUAGUACUGUCAUACUUCUCAAAAUUUUAUAUUUUAAAUUUAGGUGGUAUCACCACAUCUGAUACUAAACAAAGCCCCAUUGCAUCCAUAGAUCCAUAGAAAUCGAUUCUUUCAUUGGCUUGUAAUCUUUUCUCGAUUUUAUUUAUGGCUUGAUUGAUUUUAAAAUUUUUUAAAAGUGCAGCUGCCUGUAACUUUCCUUUUUCUUUUGUUUCAUCCAAAGUAGGGAGUUGAAUGGGCUUAACUACUUUUUUUAAUGAAAACAGAAUUAUUAAAACUCUGGAUGUUCUCAUGACGAUGUGCAUAAGUCAUUCCUAGGUAGUUGUAAUUUAGAAACGUAGCCUGUUAUGGUUGAAAGCUUAGGAAAAUUUGAGUCUGAUAUGGAUCGAAACCUAGAGGAUAUGUUGAUUCAGUAGCUUCUUAUGAGGUAUCUUCUUCCAUUGAUUUUUCUUUAUUUAUUUUUUUGUAAAGCUUUCAGAAUCUUGCUUAGCUUUCCUUCAAUUAUCUUCUAGGCUUUUUCUAACCUUUCGAAAUGAUUUGCAUUGUCUUACUCCAUUUUCUUAGCUCUUACUCGGGUGUUGUAUAAAUGUGUAGCUGUUCUUGCACCUUAGUACCACGAUGAAAUUAGUGAUGAUGAUAUGAUAAUGAAUGAAUGAGAUGCAAUGCAUGGGAAAAGAAAAGAAAAGAAAAUAUUUGCCCUUUUAAAAAUUUCAACAAAAGUGAGUUUUCAUUUAUUCCACAAGAGUCUGUUUUACAUCUGAUCUAAUACUAUCUCUUUAUAAAAGUGCCUAACUUGCUCAUACUGGUCUUUAGCCUCCUUAAUGAAGUUUAGCAGUCUCUAUCCAUGUUUCUCUGCUAAUGUGAUCAAAGCUCUCAAUGCCUCAGCCUCUUUCAUCAUUUCGUAUGCCUUGAUCAUUGCUUUGCUAUCUAAGCUGUGAGAUGCUCUAUGUAAUUUUAUCUUUUUAACCCUUUUUUCCUUGCCAUACCACACCUAUAGGAUAAUUCUUUAUGCUUCUCUGUGAGUGUUCUGAUGCGGUCUCUUUGUUCAUUCAACUUCAGCUUCAGGGUCAAAAUGUAAUUUGUAAGCAUUUCAUUUUUUUUGCUAAACUUUAAUAUAAUCAUCUUCUAUUUGUGAACAUUCUCUUGUCAACUCUUCAUUCUCAUGAGCUAGAUCUGUGUUGUUUAUUUCUUUGGCCUGCACUUGUAUGCAUAAUCUUUUGUGCUAUUAUUAUAAUUCCCUCAAUUCUUUAAGGGCAUCAUCCCACUCUUGAACAACCCUUUGGGCCUUACUGUGUUCCUUGAAAAUCUUAUGGACUUGGACUUUUAAUUUUUCUUCUUUGUUUUGCCACUGUUUUUUUUUUUUUUAAGUUUCAAAAUUUCUUGUUUCAGCUUCUCUUUCUCCAUUUCAUGUUCUGACUUUAAAGGUGUAUUGUCUGACUUUUGAUUCACUGAUUGGCAAUAGUCUUUAGGCAUAGGUGUCACAUCUUAGCCUCUUUUGGUUUUCCAAAUCAGAUACCCAUGAGUGGCCUUAUCGGUAAAAUAGUCCAGGGCUUACUCUCUUGGGCUUCUUCUAGGCCUUGAUCAUGUUAUUAAUUUUUUGAAAAGUUUCGAGCUCCCUAUAUGAAUAAGCAAACUAGUUGAGCUUAUAAGUUAUAGGAAUAAACUAUUCGGCUCUAUGCUAUCUCCUUACCAUUAGUGGUGCAUAACUCAUUGACCUCUAUAAACCUAAAAGUGGAACCCCUAUCUCAUCUCUGCAUUGAUACAUCAUAGGUUUUUGGUUUAUCCAUGGAGCUAACCAUUUCACUUUACUAGCCGUGAGCUUUUGCAAUAGACAUUUUCACUAUUUCUGAGUCAUUGCUUCUAGCCAAAUGCUCUGUCAUAACUCCCUAAUUAGGAUUUGACUAUGAAAAUAAAGCUUGGAGAAUGCACUUUUCUUGCAUUCAAAUGGCUCUUCAUCCAUAGAUAUAGUAGUAGUAUGUAACCCAUGAAGCGUGCUUUGUCAUUCUGCUUACAAAAGUUCAAAGAUCUAAUGGUUUCUGCCAAGAUAGCUGGUGAAAGAUUACACCCAUUUUCAAUCUACUCAAAUAGAUCAACCAUUUCUAUCUCAAUGUGGCCUAAGACUUUGGGGAAAAUGACCAUUCUAUAUAUGGCCAAUGCAAACACUCUUAUCCCCUGAUCAUCAUUUGGAUGUUUGACAAUGAAAUCUUGGAGAAUCUUUCAUGGAAUACCCUUAUGACCUUUUUUUCUCGAAUAUACGAAUCUAUGAUCUCUUUUCCCACUCCUAGAAUCUGAACUAGCUUUUUGCAAUUUUUUAAUUUAUGCUUCUUCAUAGAUAUUCUAUCUGGAUAUAGUAGAUACAUACCACCAAAAUCAAAUACUCUUCUACCAUUGGUACCAAAUCAACUUCAUUAAAGAUGAAGCAACGAUAUGAACGAUCCCAAAAUCGUAUCAUUGCCUUAAUGAGUGAAUUAUCAACCUUCACUGACAAGAGAUAUGUAAUAUGCCCAAACUUCUGACAAAAAGCUUCCUGCCUUGAAGGAGUCAUGCUAUUCCAUAUGUCUGAUAGGCUUUUCAAAUCAUUUUUCUUGAGAAGCAAGCAAACUUUCUUUGAUAGUGUAGAGAUAUGAUCAGGUGGUAAACAAUCUCCUUCUUCUUGUUGUCUCUUUUUUGACUCUAUCUUUAUAUCUAUGGAUGAGUCGCAUUUGAAAAGUAUAGAUGAGGCGUAAACCUGACGUUCUGUGAGGUCCAUGCGAGCUUUUGUUGAAAUGACUUUUAGGGCAAGAAUACUAUGUAAUUUGUAAAUAUGUUUAUGAAUAUGCACAAGAGAAAAAGAAAUAAAAGAAGACAAGGAAAUUAGUUAGUCACUUCAUUAAUAAAACACAUAAACACCAUAUAGCAAGUAAGAUAACAACAUGACCUUGAAUUUUGGAUUGACUACAAAGGGUGGAAAGAUAAGGCUCUAUCUAUGGUUAGGCUCUUGAUAUUAACUAUAUGCGGUUUGGGUUAAUUCUAAAAGAUUUUCAAAUUAUUCCUUACAUCAUCGUCCAUCAUAGACUAGUGUGGCACCCUGAUUCUUGCCCAUUAUAGGCUACAAGCGAAAAUAGUUCAAUUUGAGUGGGAGUGUUUCAUAAGCCCAUGCGGGACAUGAAAUCUCACGAGGGCAUAGGUAUUUCACUCCCUCCUAAAGGUAGAGCUUAAGUGGAGAGCUUUAUGUUAUGCACAUGCAAAUGAAUGACAAAUAUAUAUAGGUGAAUAACUAAGGAAAUAUAAAUAAUGAAAAAAAAAGAAAUAAGAAAUAAAGAAAAUAAUCAUAAAUUUUUAAGCAAGGCUUGGAUAAUAAAAAAUCAUUUACUGACCUGACUCUUGAUAUCCCUAGUGGAGUCACCAAGCUAUCAUCACACAUAGAUCUAUAGACUUUUCGUCAAUCUUUUCUGUUUGGGUGUGAUUAGCCACCUAAUUCAAUCUAUUCUAUUUAAAAGAAGAGUCUCAAGAUUGACUUAUGUAUCUUUAAAUAGUAGAUUCUGAUCUACAAAAUCAGAGUUUAGGUUUGAGAGUACAGUUACGCAUAAGAAAGGUUAUAGCACCCCUACAACACCCAUCCAAAGGAUGGUACUAGUUUAAUUUUAGAUUAUCAAACCUUGAUCAUAUUUGUAAUUUACCAAAUUAUUUAAUAUUGACAAUUAGACUUAAAAUUGUCCCAACAGUUUGGCAGUAAUUUAAGAUAGUUCUCUUAUCUUCAGGAGUAUUCAUGGGGACUAGUAUCCUACUCCGAAUAGGCUCCGUCAUUCGAUUUAUUAAUUUAUUUUAUUUAAAAAAAAUAAGUAAAGUCUUUCAAUAGUUUGGUAGGACUUACUUUGAAAGCAGAUCUCCAACAUUUUGAUGAGAUUUUAUUAUAAAAAGAUUUGUAAAAUUUAUUUUUUUUGAGAAAAUUCAUUAAGUCUCUCAAUAGUUUAGUAAGACUUAAUUUAAGAAGCAAUCCUCCAAUAAUUUGAAUGAUGAAAAUUAUUUUUUCCUUUUUUUUAGUAUUUUUUGAAACUGAUUUUUGGAAUUUCCCGAUAGUUUCAUGGAUUCCAUUUUAUAAAUUAAAUCCAUGAAAAUUCUUCAAUAGUUUGGUAAAAUUUAUGAAUUUAUUUUGUAAGGAUUCUUAUUUGAAAAAGAUUUUUUUGUUUUUAUUUCCAUAUUUCAUAAAGAUAAUUUUUUAUGUAUGGUAAAUACAAGGUUACUAAAUAAAAAAACAAUAAAGUAAAAAUGAAAUAAAUAAUCAAAAAUAAGAAAAUAAAUAGAAACUUAAAAUAUGAAAAUAAAUAAAAUAGAAAUAAAAAAGGAAAAGAAAAACCUAUAAAACGAAUCGGGUUAACACGUGGGUCGACAAGCGGGUCAAUCGGGUCACGCGUGAAUCUUGGGUUUGCAGAAACAGUGUCAUUUUAAGGUGGGUAAAUAAGCCAAUCUUCAACCUUUUCUUUUAGAAAGCAAGUCUCUCCUCUCUCUCUAUCUUCAUAUUUCUCUACCUUCUCUCUAGGAUAGCCAAGAACAACACCGAAAAGUUCAAUUGAAAGCUGGAAAACCCAUCGAUUUUUAAAAACUCACUGAAAAGUUCGAUCGAAAAAUAAAAAAACUCGCUAGAAUCCCACUGAAAAAUUCAACCUUUGCACAAAAAUUUCAUGAAAAAAUUCAAAAAUUCAUCUAAAACCUAGAUUUUUCCAAAUUUUUUCAGAACCCAAAAAAAUUCCAAAAAAUUUGACCUUGAUCCUAGAGUUUUGAAACUUAAAUCCUAACACUCUGAGAUAGAAAGCAGAAGCGCAAACCUUAUAAUUACACAGAAUAUUGAACCUAGAAACUCCCAGAACCAAAAUCUCAUAAACCUAACUCCCAAAAAUUUUCUCAGACCUUUUUUUUCUCAAAAUUCACUCUCUGUCCGCUUCAUCUGUUUCUUAGUUUAAUUUAUAGGCAGUCUUAGGAGGAUUUUUAGGAAACUGAUAGAAUCAAUCUAAGCUUGAAUCUUGGAAUUGGGUUUUGUUCGAGCAUGAUCUUGGGUCUUUGAUUUGAUCCCACUUAAUUUGAUAGUUACCCUGAUUUGAUUCUGUUUAAAAAUAUUUGAUCAUGCCCAUCUUCCAUCUCAGUCUCAAUUUCCAAAAUUGUUGUUGCUGAUUACAUGAGAAAGGAAAGAAACAUAAGAACAAAAAUAAAAUUAAAAAUAAAAUAAAUAAUAAUAAUAAUAAUAAUGAUGAUGAUGAUAGUAAUAUAAUUGUAAUAGUAAUAUAAUAUAGAAUAAUAAAAAUAUAAUAAUAAUACUAAUAGAUUACAAUAUGCAAUAUAAUAUAUUAUAUUAUAUAAUAUGAUAUAAUAAUACUAAUAGUAAUAAUAAUAUUUUAUUAUAUUACUAUAAUGUCAUUCUUACUAUUUUAAUAAUAUAUGCAAGGAAAAUUGAUCUCGACUAGCCCUGGACACAGAUAAGUGUCUACAUCUCCUUCAAAUCAAUCUGAUGAUGAAGAGAGAGAAUGAGAGGAUAAAGAUGAUGCAUUAGACUUCGGGCUCAAGGAUGAAAGGGGUGCAACUGAAGGGGAACAAGCUGAUGUUGUUGCUGCUACCGCUAGAGAUACUAACGCCACUGCUACUGCUACUGAUGUUUAGCUCUUCUUUUCUUUUUGUUAACUUUUGUAAAUUUUUGUUUAAGUGUGAGGUCGAGUUUUUGUUAUAACCUUGCUAAAAAAUCACUCUAAUCAAUUUUUGUCAAUUACAAUUCUUUUUGUACUGAUCUCAUAUUACUAAUGAAAAAUUUACAACAUUUUGUUCUAAAGUUUUAGUUCAAGUUUAUUUAGUUUAAAAUUUUCAUGUUUAAGCUUAGAUAGCCACUUACAAGAUGACCUUGCGACUUAAGUAUUAUGAGAUUAGCUUAGACAAUUUAAGAUAAUUGAUUUAAUUGGAAUAAUUAAAUAUUAUGAGUUUCAGCCUAACUCGAGUGAGCUUAGAAUUAGGUUGGGCUUCAUUAGGUUGGUUUAUUUCUGAGUCCAAGGACUAAGAUGAACGUUAUCAUGUUUGGGCCUUAAGUUUCAGGUUGGACACAUUAGGUCAGAAACAUUAUUCUUGGGCUGAUCAAUGAAUGAGAUUAUCAUAACUUUAUUGACUUUUGGAUUACAAGUAUGAGCUCGGUUUAAUCUAAGCUACUAAUAAUAUACUUUCAAAUUAUUUUUGUUCCAUGUCUUUGAUAGGCAAUUGCCAUUAAUAUCUUGUAAUCUGUAAGUUGCAUCAUGGACAACCUUUUUAAUCACAUAUGGUUCUUCCCAGGUCAGAGUUAUUUUUUCACCUUGGUCAUCACCUUUAAGGCUUUUAACUUUUCUAAAUAUCAGGUUGCCCUUCUUAAUGUUCUUACAUCAGAAACUUUUGUUAUAAUAGCUAGAUACCCUUUAUUGGUAAGCUACUAUUAGUGUUAAAGCCAUGUUUUUCUAUUCUUCAACUAAGUCUAGGUCCAUCUUUAGGGCCUCUUUAUUUUAGUCUUCUAACCCUAAUUUAACUCUCAAGUUUAGAAGAUCGAUCUUGACAAGCAUCAUGGCCUCUAUUUCAAAUGCUAGGUGGAAUAAGAUUUCUCCUGUGGGUACCGUGGUAAUCAUCCUCAGGGCCCAUAGUACCCUAGAAAGUUCUUCAGCCCACUUUCUUUUUGUCUUGUUGAAUCUUUUUUUUAGGGCCUCUAAUAUUGUCUUGUUCGAUUCCUUGGCUUGUCCGUUGGAUUGAGAGUGGGUAAUUGAUGUAAAUCUUAGGUCAAUGUGUAGGUUUGAAUACCAUUUUUUAAACCUUAAAUUUUUAAAAUGUUUACCAUUAUUCAUUAUUAUGGAUCGAGGUUGGUCGAACUUGCAAAUUAUGUUCUUUCACACAAAAUUUUCAACCUGGGCCUUCAUUGUAGUGGCUAGGGCCUUACUUUUAGCCAUUUCGUAAAGUAGCCUAUUGCGACCAAAAUAAAUCUCCUAAGGCUUAUGGUUGGGAUGAAUGAUCCAAGGACAUCUAUUUCUUACUGCAUGAAGGGCUAAGGGCUAGUAAUACGAAUCAGCUCGAUCGACGAGAGAUGUUGUAUAUGGGCAAACUUUUGGCAUUUGUCGUAUCUUUUUACCAAGUCAAUUGUAUCUCUUCUAAUAGUGGGCUAGUAAUAACCUUACCUUAACAUUUUGUAGGCAAGUGGCAAAGGUCUGAAGUGGUUCCUACAUAUUCCUUCAUGGAUUUUUCUCAAGACAUAAUUCAUUUCUUCAUCAUCUACACAUUUCAGAUAAGGUAAGCUAAAAAAUUUUUUAUACAAUUUUUCAUUGAUCAUCGUAUACCGAGGAGCUUUUCUUAUUAAUGCUUUAGCUCAAACCCUAUCCUUGGGCAGUUUUCCUAUAGUUAAGUAUGUUUUAAUUAGGGUUAUCUAAGUUUUUUUUCCUCGAUCUAUCCUACGAGCUUCUCUUCGGUGUUUUUUUGUACCAAUUCUUCCACUAGGACUUGGUUUGAAUUUUCUAUCAUUAUUCCUAAGGCUAGAUUAGAUAAAGAGUCUGCCAGUAAGUUUUCGAACCUCGGUAUUUUUUUUACCUUGACUUUUUAAAAAUUGACGAUAAGGGUGAGUUCUUUGCCUAAAUAUCUUUGGAUUCUCUCUUUUUGGGCUUCAAACUCACCAUUUAUCUGACUGACCACCAGUUGAAAAUCACUAUAUGUGAUUAUAUGCUAAACAUUUAUCUCAUUUGCUGUCUUAAACUGGCUAUCAGUACUUUAUAUUUCUUCUUAUUGUUGGAUACCUUGAAUCUAAAUUUCAGGGUGAAUUGAUACUGUAAUCUUUUCGGACUGAUAAGAAUGAAGCUACUCCACCAUCAUGGCUUGUGGUUGAUCCAUCAAUAAAAAGUUUUCACUUUUACUUUUUUGUAGCUUUCUCGUUCUCUUUGGGCUAUUAUUAGGAUGGGCUAACAUGAGCUCUACAAUGAAGUUUGCCAACACUUAAGAUUUCAAAGUUGACUUGGGAAGUAUGUACAGGUCAAAUUCAUUGAGCUUUACCACCCAUUUAAUUAAUCUCCUUGAUAAUUUUGGCUUCUGCAAGAUUUGCCUUAGCGAUUGAUUAGUCAAUACAUGUAUUAUGAGGCUUGAAAAUACAGCUUAAGUUUUUUAGUUGAAGUAACAAUCACAUAAGCUAAUUUUUUUACUUUGCUAUAAUUUAUCUCUGACCCCGUCGUAUUUACUAACAAAGUAAACUGAUCUUUACUUCUUUUUUUUUUCACAGACUAAGAUCGAGUUGAUGGCCUAGUUUGUGGUAGCCAGAUAUAAGUACAAGGUCUCACUGAACCUCAGUUUAGAGAUGAUAGGUGAAGAAGAUAAAAACUCUUUGAGUUUAUCGAAUGCUUUAUGACAUGAAGGGUUCACCUAAAAUCAGAUAUGUUUAUGAAAAUUUUAAAAAAUAAUAAACAUCAUUUUAUCAAUUUGGAUAUGAACCUGUUUAGGACAGCUAUUUUUCUAGUUAGCCUUUACAUGUCUUUUAUUGAUGUCAGUACUUUCACAUCCAAGAUUGCCUAAACCUUUUUUGAGUUUGCCUCUAUCCUCUUUUUAUUGAUCAUAUAGUCAAAGAAUUUGCCUGGCAUGACUCUAAAGGAGCACUUGCUUGGGGUAAGCCUCAUAUUGUAUUUUUUUAUGGUGUCAAAAGUCUUCCCAAGGUCUUUUAAGUGCUCAACGAAACUCUUACUUUUGAUUAUCAUGUCAUCCACAUAUACUUUCAUGUUGUGACCAAUUUGAUUUUUAAAGACCAUGUUGACCAACUUUUGAUAGGUUACCUCUGUAUUUUUCAAGCCAAAGGGUAUCACUUUAUAACAGUAAAGGCCUUUCUUAGUGAUGAAAGAUAUUUUCUCCUCACCUUUUUUUAACAUCUUAAUUUGUUUAUAGCUAGAGUAAACAUCUAUAAAGUUGAUAAAGCCAUACUUAGCAUUAUCAUCUACUAGCCAAUUUACGCUAGAAAAAGGAAAACUGUCUUUUGGGGCAUGCUUUAUUAAGGUCAGUAAAGUCAAUACACGUCAUUCAUUUUUCACUGUAUUUUUUAAUCAUGACUAUGUUGGCUAUCUAUUCAAGGUAGUAAACUUUCCUGAUAAGCUUGCUUGUUAUUUAUCAAUUUUUUUCUUGAUAGCCUUUUAUCUUUUCAAGGUAAAAGUCUUCUUCUUUUGUUGAACUAGUUUCAUGUCUAGGCUAGUGUGCAACCUAUGGACCAUCAUCUCGAUAUUAAUUUCGAGCUUGUUAAAUGGCGUCCAUGCAAAUAGGUUGGCAUUAUUUCUUAAGAGCUAAAUUAACUAUUUUUUAUGUUCGAGUUUAGUUUUGAUCUACAUGUGUUUUUCAAGAAUUUUCCCAAGAAUAUUUUCCCAAAACAUUAUAGGCAUAAGGUCUUUUGUUGACUCAUGUUGAUUUUCACCUGGGUUAGGUUUUUGGUCAAUUAUUUCUUUCUAUUCAAGUUAGAUCGAGAUCAUUUCCUGCGAAGACAGAUCCCAACAUGAUAAUUAGUAUAUAAAUUAUUAGAAUAUAUGGUUGAAUAUAAUGUAUUUCUCAUUUUAAUUUUUGUUUUGGUCGACUUAUUAGCUAAGUCCAAAUGACAUGUAAAUAUUUAUACCAGCUAAAAGCUCAGUCACUUUUAAAUUCAUUUCAAAAGUUAAAAAAAUGAAACAUAAGGUGUAUCUUCUAUUAGAGCUUAAGAGCUUAGAAUGGCUUAAAAGCACGCUUCUGUCAGGUUGAUCUUUUAUUGUAAGUUUUUACUCUUAUUUUUUUGCUUAUCCCUGGUUCUUAUUGCUUGUCUUUCUUCUUCAACAUUCUUCAUUUCAGCUAGGCUACCCAUCUGUUUCCUAAUCCUUCCCUUCAUUAUCGUGACGUAACACUAUCGUGCCAUGGACUGAUCUCCUCUCACCUUUUAAUCCUCUGAGGUGUUAGAAAUUUUACCUUUAAAUAGGAAGCUAAGCCUAUAAGCAGCAUAACAGAUUGGCUAGGUUGGCUCAAUCAUAUUAUAGGCAGAUAGGAUGUCUACUACCAUGAAUUCUAUGACCAAGGUGACUAUCCUUGGUUUCAUCCCUAAAGAGAUUGGUAGUUUGAUAGUCCCUUUAACUAGUACUUACUCGUUCAUAAAUCCUACCAAAGUUGUGGUAAUCGGUUGCAAUUGUUCUUCCUUAAUACCUAUUUCCUUCAUGGUAGCUUAAUACAUGACAUUGAUUGAACUCUUGUUACAAGUAGGAUCUUCUUAACCACAUAAUUAUAUACCAUAGCUAUGAUUACUAUAGCAUCGUUAUGGGAAUGUUGGAUUCCUUCCAACUCUGAGCUAAAUGAGAUAGAUUCUUCUUUCCAAGCUUUUUUUUUUUUAUUGAAAAGCUAAUGGCUAUGAUCAUACUUGGGUUGGACUUUCUUUUGGUCGAGGUUGAGUUCCCUCCAGUAAUCACAUUAAUCAUUCAAGUGAUUGGCUUAUUAUUGUCAGGUCAGCCUUGUUAUUGUCUUUGCUUAUCUCCUCAAACUUUUCCUUUUCUAUUUUCCUCUAGCUUGCCUUCCCUGUCCCUUGUGGGCUCUCUUCGAUCCCUUUUAUAAUUCAAUAUGUUCUACCAUUAUCUUCUUUGGUCCAUAAACCUCUUCAACUGACCUCUUUUAAUUAGAGUUUUAAUCUCAUUUUUAAGGUCGAUACAAUCUUCGAUGUUGUGGCCUAUGUCCCUAUGGAAGGCACAUCUUUUGGUCGAAUCCCUCAUCUAUUCUACCUUAGUGGCUUAGGCCAUCUAGACUUCAUAUUCCUCUCGAUUUGUAUUAAAUCUUUUUUAGGAGGUAUUCAAUGCAAUAUAAUUUCUUUAUCCACUAGGGCUUUAGGCUUUAUGUUGUCUCUUUCUUGGAAGAGGAUCGUAAAAAUCUUUGUCUUUCUUACGAAGAAGAGGGAUGAGCCUCUCUCACCUCGACUACUGAGGAAGGGGAUAAGCCUCUCUUAUCUCGAUUAUUUCUCAUUGUAGCUUCAGCAUUAAUAUUUUUCAGCUACAAGUAAGACGUCAGCCAAAGUCUUAGGUGGCUUUAAUGAUAAGACCAGCUUUAGAUGGUACUCUUUGUCAUUGAGUCCACUUGUUAAGGUGGCUAUAAUAGCCAUUUGUUCUAGGCUUUUACCUAUAGAGUUUCAUGUUAAAAUAUGUGAUAUAGUUUUUCAGGGAUUCAUUACGACCUUAGUCGAUCGACAUCAAGCGUAAUGUCAUCUUCUUCAUUCUUCGGUUGCUUACAAAUCAGGAUAAGAAAGAAUAGCUUAGCUUUUUAAAUGUUGUGAUUGACCUUGGUUUUAAACUAUUGUACCAAGACCAAGCUACACCCUUGAGGGUAGUUGCAAGGCCCUUACACAACAAAGCUUCAUCAACGCUCUGCAUCAUCAUGUUAGUUUUAUAAAAUUUUAGAUAAUUGAAAGAUCAGAAAUACCGUCAUAAGUUUCUAAGGUCGGCAUUUUGAACUCUUUCGGAGGUAUAGCUUUGUCGAUUUCUUUGGUGAAAGGCGAGGUCUUCAAAAAUUUGAGUUCAUCUUUGAAAGCCACUACCUUCACCUGUAGCUCUUUCUCCAUAGCUUGUAUUCGAACUUCUAAGUCUUUGUUUGGCUAGGGCUCUAGGUUAGUUUGUUUUGAUUUUUAGGUCGUGGCAUGUGUUAAGUUGUGAUUGAGGUGGUGGUGAGCAAGAGUGUCAUGCUCUUCUUCUCUAGAGGCCUAAGAGGCUUCCACUUCUUUUAUAGCUCGGUUGCCUUUCCACAACUUCUCGCCCAAGGGAAACUAGACCUUCAAAGCUUGGGGUGGGUUAUAGCCUGUAACAUCUGUUUAAGAACUUGUAUUUGCUCGAUCAAAACCUGAAGGUGCUCUAUGGUUGGGCCAGCUUGUUGUGGGGCAUGUUGUUCUGAGUGCUAACUGUUAUGUGUUUCUAUUCUGGCUGAAAUGACCAUCUCUCCUUCCUUCAAAGUUCUCUUCCUAGGUGGGAUUGUUUUGUGCUCGGCUAAUAAAUAGAAAGCUCCUCCCUGGCAUGCCAAAUAUUUAUGCCAAAUUCUAACGUGAGGGUAUUCCUGAAAAGAACAAAAAGGUGGAAGAGAGUGGUCAGAUGCAAAGGCAUGAAGUAUUCCCUAUAUUUAUACUCUGAUGCAUAAAUUAGAGAUCAAAAUGAACAAGGCUAAAAGGAGAGAAAGAUAAGGGGUUAAGAUAAAAUGGAACCUAGGAUGAUAAUGUCUGGAUGCCUAUAUUUAUAAAUGAGAGGUAGAGAGUCAAUGAGAAACAAUAAUAAUGUGAUCGAACUGAUAUAACACUAAAUAUGUCAGGUCGAAAUGCCUUUGAUUAUCUGUCAAGAGCCCUUAAUAAAGAAAAAUGCCAUUAUACCCUUUGAAUCACUAAAUGCCCUCAACCUUAAGAAAAAAUAUUGUCGCCGGUGGAUAUUUAUGACAUCCAAAUGAACCAUCUCCGUGCUACAGUUUCUAAUUUCUUUGACAUCUGUUGUCUAAUGACUAGCUAAAACAAGGAACAUCUUGCUUUCCUAAUGCAUACUGCUAUUUUGAUUUGGUCCUGGAAUCAUGCAAUUUAUACCUCUCAAGUUCAAAUCUCUUCUUUCGUGGUUUUCGAUCAAUUGUGAAUUUAGUUUAAUUUUAUAUUGAUUUGGUUUUAAUUUGUUAGUUGGUUUCUUAUUAAAUGUAAUAAUUGUUAUGUAUAUAUAUAUAUAUAUUAAAAUUUACUUAUAUUAAUAUAAAAUUUAUAUUUUUUAAACUUUUAAAUCAAAAUUAAAUCAAUAAUUAAUUUGAAUCAAAAUAAUAUUUAUAAAUUUAAUAAUUUUGAUCUAAAAAUUUUUAAAAAUAUAAAAAUUAUAUUAAUAUAAAUAGAUCCUUCUAUAUACACGCACGGAAGUUUUCAUGUCUUGACUGCAUAUUAUACGUAGCAAAUCAUCACAAAUUCUCAAUAUGGGAGAGAUUUCAAGGCGUUACAACUAUACGGCAUAGCAUUUCAUCUUUUGUUGAGAAAUUUUGAUGUAGUUGUGAUGUUUCAUUUCAUGUGCCACGAGGCAAGAGAUUUUGUCCGUGUCGAGACCUUAGUUGCGCUUGGACAUGGUCCUGAGCCUUGAUGUAGUUGUGGGCCAGCAUCAUCAGUUGCUUUUUUUUUUUUUUUUUUUUUGUAAAAGAAGAUUAAUGUCCUUAAAAAAAAGAGAACGACAGAAUAAAGCUCACAUCUUAUAUGAUUUUCAACUGAUUUUUUAACCAUUAAAUUAAGAGGAGAAAGUUUCAUCAUUUGCUUUCAGCACAUUAGAAUAAUCUCAUCUCUAGAUUUAACAACCACAUUGACUUUUAGUUGACUAAGUGAUAAUUUAGAUAUGGUAAGAUAAUAUUAUAUAAAAAUAAUAUAAAAUAUCAUAUAUAUAUUUUAAAAAUAUAUUUUGUAUUUAUUUAAUAUGAUAUGAUAUAAUUUGUGUAAGAUAUAUAUUAAUUUAUUUAAAUACUUAAUAUGAUACAAAUAAUAAAUUUAAUUUAAUAUUAUCAUACAAAUAUAUGUUUAAUAUAUUUUUAUAUUUAAUUUAAUUUAAUAUAAAUAUAUAAAUAUUAUUUUAAUUUUUAAUUUUUUAAUUAUGAUAUUUAAUUAAUUAUUUAAUAUCAUAUAAAAACUAUUUUAAAUAUGACACUCAUUUAAUAACUAUUGUAAAAUUAUUUUUUAUAUUAAUAAUAUAAUAUUAAUAUUAAUAUUAGUUUUAUACAUUAUUAUUUUAUUAUUUAAUUAUUUAAUAGUUUAUCAUUUUGAAUUUGAUAUUAAAUAUAAAUAUAAAUAUAAAUAUUAAAUACAUAUUAAAUGAGUAUUAAAAUUUUUAUUUUUUAAUAUGUAAAUACUUUUUUUAUAUUAUUAACAUGUCAAAUUUAUUAAAUUAUAAAUUAUAAAUAAUUUAUUAUUAUUUAUUAUUUUAAUCGUAUUCUUGUAUAUAUUCGUAUUAAUCGUAUUUAUUUGUAUAUAUCUAUAUUAAUAAUAUUUAUUUAUAUAUAUUCGUAUUAUUCGUACUUAUUCAUAUUUCAUUUAAAUAAAUUUUUUUUUCGUAUUAAUUAUGUCAUGUUGUAUAUAAUAUAUAUAUUAAAUAUAUCGUGUUCGUGUUUAAAAUUUAAAUACGUUUUAUAAUUCAUAUUAUAUUUAUAUUUUAAUAAUUUAUAUAAUUUUAUGUAUUUAAUAUAAUAUAAAAUAUGAUAUAAAAAUAUGAAUUACAGUAUCUACUAAGUACUUACUCUUCCAUUUCUGUGGAUCGAUUUAUCAUUUUUUCGCCUAUUCAGUGGAUAGAUUCAAGCAUAUCAAUUAGCCUACAAGUUUGUGUCUCAACUCUCAAUUGUUCUUGUAGCAGCUUAGAGCAAGGGUUGCCCUUUGUCUUAAUUGGGUCAGACUCGGAUUUGACCUAAUCAGGCAGGGUUCUAAAUAUUAUUAGGUCAUGAACUCAUGAUUCGCCUUAAGGUGUAAUUUAAAAAAAAAAUUAAUUUUACCCAACUCUUUUUCUUUGCUCUAGUAUUUCUCCCAAAGUUUAGCAGAAUAAAGCAAAUAUUCUUUAAGGAUUUUGAAGUUCGAUAUUUCAAAAGCAAAUCUUCUAUUUUCGCUACCAUGUUCGAAUAAACAAAACAAAGAAGUCCACCAUAAAUGAAAUCCAGUUUUUUUUUUUUUUCCUGCAAUUACAAUCAUUCUUUAAAUACCCCCCGUUAACACAUUUACCAACAAAAUGGUUUAUUCAGAUGAGUGGGAUAUUGACUUUUGGAAUCAAAACUUUUUUCUUUUUUUCUUUAUCUGCUUCUUUCUUUCAAAAUUUAUUCGAGGUUUUAGGCAAAAUGACAAAUGAAGGCAAUUAUGUCGUAGGUUUUUAUAUACACAUGAUAAUUAAAUUAUUAUUUUAAUAAAUAUUAAAUAGUUUUAUGUGAUAAUAAUUUUAGAUCAUCGAAAAUGAUCAAAUCAUUAAUUUAAAAGAUAAUUUAAUUAUCAUUUAAAAAAGUAAAAAAUUUUAUUAUCCAAAUGAAAUGAUAUAUAAAAUUAAUAAUAAUAAUUAAUAUUACUCAUUUAAUAUAUAUAAAUAUAUACAAAUAGAUCUUAUCCGUCUACUGAUUUAUUCAAUAAUUGAAUCGAACGGCCCUUUAAACUCAGUGGUAAAGUAACGUCAUGGUAAGGCGUAAGUCAUCGGUUCAAAUCUGAUAAGGGGCUUUUGAUUUUUUUUUUUUUUCAUAAAACUCCAGUGAAAUAGUAGUAUUCAUAUUUAAACGAAGAAUAGGGGUGUUGUUUUUUUUGGUAAUAAAAAACCAACUGUAUAUGUAUAAUAAUUUAAUUAGAAACUGUAUAAUUUAACUCUAAUAAGUUAUUAUCUAAUAAGUUAUUAUUCUAAUGAGUUAGAGUAGAGUAAUUCUAAAAGAAAGUUGAACAUUUGUUUAUUAUAAUGAAUAAUGAUAAGUCGUCUCUUGAAUUGACAAAUAUAUAUAUAUAUAUUUAUUUUUAUUUUGCAUUAUAUUAUUCCAAUCAAAUCCAUUGUAAAGAAUUGUAAAGAUUAAAAAUCAACAAAAGAAAAAGUAAAUGGAUCUAACCCAUUGAAUCGUGACUAUAUCUACUAUUCUAAUAUUAAAAUUCAAUAGAGAUGAAAUUGGAACAGUAGAUUUCUUUUUUUUUUUCAUAUUUAUUUGGACUCCACAAGAAUCUGUCGAUAUUUCCGAUUCAAUCUUCUUGUUACUAGGAAUAAAUUAAUAUUCUAUUCCUUUAUAGAGAAAGAGAAACGUUUAUUUCAAGUUACAACCUAAGAGCCUUUUUCAAUAUCUUAUCUUUCUUUGAUUCCAGAACACAACAAGACCCAUUUCUAUCUAUAUAGAAUAUAUAGAAUUUUUUAGAUAUAAAUCUAAAUCAAAUCAUGUCUUCACAUAUCAAAUAUUUCCAUAUCGAUACAUAUGACACUUUUGUUCUGACAAUGUGAUGGAGAGUGAGUGCGAAAAAGAAACUUA